GCAAACCUCAUGAUGCAAAUUACUUAGAGAGUGUUUCUAUAAAUCAAACAACAACAAAAGUAUCGCAGUGAUCUCUAAACAGUGUACGUAAAUAACUAUGGCUUUAAUGAAGCACUCAGUGAAAUGAAAAAGAAAAGCAAAGAAUCCAUGGGAGGUCUUCCAGCAUCUCAACCAGUCCUCAUAGCUGGGGUCCUUCUGGGUUGGUAGCCAGAAAGAUCCAGUCUCUUCUUAGUCAUGAAACCAAUGCCUUACUCUCCCUUCAAAGGAGCGGUACCCUGUGGCUUUCCUUGGUGGCCACACUGAGAGCUCUUUGUGGACAGAGCAUGCAGACGGCCUUGCUUGAUAUCCCAGCAAGAGGUUUGAGCUCAAC
Molecule: long non-coding RNA, 370 nt
Filed under: Bos taurus (domestic cattle)
Lineage: Eukaryota; Metazoa; Chordata; Mammalia; Artiodactyla; Bovidae
Description: long non-coding RNA NONBTAT003012
Source: RNAcentral